UACUGAGAGUUCAAUGGCUGCUAAAUCAAUCAAUAAAUCACUCCUCCGUAAUGUUAAUUCGGAAGAUCAAUUGGUGCGAGCGCUGAAACGUCUGGACUGGGCGCCUUUCAGUUAACGUCCAUUCACCUGCACGUCAUGCAAAGAAAGAUAAUAAUAAACACAACCGUCCUUGACAGUAACAUUUCAGAGUAACUGCGUCUCACAUAUGUCGCCAUAGGCUCAUCUAUCGUGUCACCUUCUCAACUAAAUUUCUAACACUAUUACUACAGCUACCCAAAAGCUAAUAGCACCAGCUACCCAAAAGCUAAUAGCACCAAGUAUACAGCCCUUCCUCACAAAAAACAACAAAAACUAAUUUACAGUCACAACCAAAUAGUACUUCCGAGGAUUUAAGUGUGUACGCACAAGAGGGAAAACAAACUGCCAUUCACGCUGCCUGGCUACAGCUGUAUUUCCACUGUAAUAGAUUUAACGCUGGUGGAGCUUAGCCGGAAGUGUUUGUGCAUAAAUUUUGUUUGGGUUCUCUUUUUUUUUUUUUUUUGCUUGCAACAUGAACCUGCAUUUUGUUUGGAUUACACGAGCUCCAUGGAAAUUUGCGCAGACGACUCUAACUCAACCAAAAAGCGUGUAACAAUUAAUCCAGUUGUGCUAUUAUAAGGUUGCUCUCAAUGCUGCACCAUGGCGGUCUUCUUAGGUCGCCAUAUCAGUUUUCUUUACCUAUGUGGUGUGUAAUUAAUUAAUCAAGAGAGCGGAUGAAACGAUCUCUUAUUUUUGAUACGGUGUACAUUCUAUACACCCAAUUCUAUGCAUAUAUCAAUAAUCUUGACAUUGUCAUCCACUUAGAGUCAAGGUCCUACAGAGAUGAAGACAUGAUAGAGGGGUUUAGAGGAAGGCUCCCUUUUCCAGUUUAAUGGUUGCUUCAAGAAAAUAUCAUAUAUGGUAGCGCCUCCACAUAGGACAACUCAAUUCUAGAUCCACAUGUCGGAUGUAACCUCGCCAACUUAAAGAUAAUUUUCUAACUUAUCUUUUAGAAAAGUUAAGUGCUAACGUACUAAUGAAGAAACUAAGGAGAUAAGGAGGAUAAUCCAUUGGUGCAAGUGUUCACUCUUGACUUAUACUGGGGUGUGACACCAUAGUGGUGGCAUGCCAUGACAUCAUCCCCUUUUUACGUGUGCAGCUCCUCAAGCUUAUAUUUUGGAUAAUACAUAGUGAAGUCAUCCAAAUCUUUCCAUGUGGUUUUGGUUGGCGGCACAACUAAUCCAUUACGCUAGCACUUGCCGCACAUCACAAUAGGCGUGGCUGAUGGACCUUGGUGGUGGACCACACGACACAUCCUUCAUGUUAACAAUACCAACAUAGGACUCGUACUAGCAAGCAAGCUUGCAAGGGCAGAAUCGGUGAUGAAGGGACGGUAGAGGUUAUGAAGAUGAAGGCAUACCCAAUCUCCAGUUGGGACUCAAAAUAUUGUAGGGCAUCUUCUAUCUUCUAUUUAUAGUCACACCCGAGGAUUUAAGUGCAUACAGACAAGAGGUAAAUCAAACUCUGCCAUUCACCCCGCCUGGCUACAACUAUAUUUCAACUAGUAGUAGAUUUUGGUUAACACUGAUGGAGCUUAUUCAGAUGUGUUGGUUUAGUGAGUAAUUUUUUUUGCAACAUGAACCUGCAUUUUGUUUGGAUUAGAUGAGUUUAAUAGGAAUUUGCACAAACAACUAUAACUCAGCCAAAAUCAUACAACAAUGAAGUUGUUCUAUUAUAAGGCUGCUCCCGAUGCUCCACCCCUCGCGAUGUUUCUUAGGUCACUGCAUCAAAACAAGUUAUCUAUGUGGCGUGUAAUUAAUCAGGAGAGAGGAUGAAUUAGUCGCUUA
Long non-coding RNA from Aegilops tauschii subsp. strangulata, 1865 nucleotides. RefSeq lists it as uncharacterized. The record is from RefSeq and is a predicted model, not a curated record. Lineage: Eukaryota; Viridiplantae; Streptophyta; Magnoliopsida; Poales; Poaceae.